UACGUAGGGGGCAAGCGUUGUCCGGAUUUAUUGGGCGUAAAGAGCGUGUAGGCGGUUUUACAGGUCCGCUGUGAAAACGCGAGGCUCAACCUCGCGCCUGCAGUGGGUACGGGCAGACUAGAGUGCGGUAGGGGAGAUUGGAAUUCCUGGUGUAGCGGUGGAAUGCGCAGAUAUCAGGAGGAACACCGAUGGCGAAGGCAGAUCUCUGGGCCGUAACUGACGCUGAGGAGCGAAGGCGUGGGGAGCGAACAGG
RNAcentral lists this ribosomal RNA (253 nucleotides) under uncultured bacterium. RNAcentral describes it as "partial 16S ribosomal RNA". It matches the Rfam family "Bacterial small subunit ribosomal RNA", at positions 524 to 776 of the family's 1533-position model. The record is from RNAcentral.